AGUAAAAUACUGGUUAAUGAUAGCAAUGCAUUGUAAAACUUUCAGAAGAAAAUGAGAACAUUUUGUGGACCAUUUGUUGUGUGUGUGUGUGUGUGUGGCAGUUUUUUGGUAAUUUUUAAAAUCAGUACUAUUUAAUGGAAACAACUUGACCAAAAUCUUGUCACAGAAUUUUGAGACCCAUUAAAAUGAACAUUUAAUGAGAAUUUAAAAAAGUAAAAAAAAGUAAAAAAAAAUUAAAAA
Molecule: long non-coding RNA, 240 nt
Organism: Mustela erminea (ermine)
Lineage: Eukaryota; Metazoa; Chordata; Mammalia; Carnivora; Mustelidae
Exons: 2
Source: RefSeq, a predicted model, not a curated record